UCCCAUAUAGUCUAGAGGUUAGGAUCACCCGCUUUCACCGGGUAGGCCCGGGUUCGAUUCCCGGUAUGGGAG
This 72-nucleotide transfer RNA is filed under the name Penicillium ochrochloron. RNAcentral's name for it is "tRNA-Glu". It matches the Rfam family "tRNA". From Rfam's summary of the family: Transfer RNA (tRNA) molecules are approximately 80 nucleotides in length. Their secondary structure includes four short double-helical elements and three loops (D, anti-codon, and T loops). Further hydrogen bonds mediate the characteristic L-shaped molecular structure. tRNAs have two regions of fundamental functional importance: the anti-codon, which is responsible for specific mRNA codon recognition, and the 3' end, to which the tRNAs corresponding amino acid is attached (by aminoacyl-tRNA synthetases). tRNAs cope with the degeneracy of the genetic code in two manners: having more than one tRNA (with a specific anti-codon) for a particular amino acid; and 'wobble' base-pairing, i.e. permitting non-standard base-pairing at the 3rd anti-codon position. RNAcentral also lists the same sequence under 2 other names. Lineage: Eukaryota; Fungi; Ascomycota; Eurotiomycetes; Eurotiales; Aspergillaceae. The record is from RNAcentral.